Molecule: ribosomal RNA, 461 nt
Filed under: uncultured bacterium
Lineage: Bacteria
Description: partial 16S ribosomal RNA
Rfam family: Bacterial small subunit ribosomal RNA
Source: RNAcentral
CCUACGGGAGGCAGCAGUGAGGAAUAUUGGUCAAUGGGCUUACGCCUGAACCAGCCAAGUCGCGUGAGGGAAGACUGCCCUAUGGGUUGUAAACCUCUUUUAUCAGGGAGCAAUUGGCGCUACGUGUAGCGUUAUCGAGAGUACCUGUCGAAUAAGACAGGGCUAACUACGUGCCGGCAGCCGCGGUAAUACGUAGGUGGCAAGAGUUGUCCGGAUUUACUGGGUUUAAAGGGCGUGUAGCCGGGCUGACAAGUCAGAUGUGAAAUCCUGGGGCUCAACCCCCGAACUGCAGUUGAAACUGUGAGUCUUGAGUAUCGUAGAGGCAGGCGGAAUUCCUAGUGUAGCGGUGAAAUGCGUAGAUAUCAGGAGGAACACCAGUGGCGAAGGCGGCCUGCUGGACGACAACUGACGGUGAGGCGCGAAAGCGUGGGGAUCAAACAGGAUUAGAUACCCCUGUAGUC